GUCCCCGUAGUUCAAUGGAUAGAAUAGCUCUCUCCUAAGGAGUUGAUCUGCGUUCGAGUCGCGGCGGGGACACCA
RNAcentral lists this transfer RNA (75 nucleotides) under bacterium. RNAcentral's name for it is "tRNA-Arg". It matches the Rfam family "tRNA". Rfam says of the family: Transfer RNA (tRNA) molecules are approximately 80 nucleotides in length. Their secondary structure includes four short double-helical elements and three loops (D, anti-codon, and T loops). The record is from RNAcentral.